AAUAUUUAGAUCUACGUUUUUAUUUUGAAAUUAUAAUGCAAUGUUAAUAUUCUUAUAUUACAUAUGAAGGUUACAGAAGAAACAUAUGGUAAGUACAUUUUUGUAAAUUUUCUGAUUUCAGUGCUAGUUUAUGUUAGUUCAGAGGAUUUUUAUAUAGCAUGGCUAGAAAUGAAAACAACCUGUUAGGUCCAAAGAUAGCUGAAAAAAUAGCUGAUAAAGUAAAAAUAAAAACAAGCAAUAUUUUAAUACAUCCAAUGUUCUAAUAUUGUGAGAAGCAAUAUUUAAAAAAUUUUGAGAAGUAUGAAGAAACACAUAUUCAGCUCUAAUAAUAUGAAAUAAGAAGGCAGUUUUGGUAAUAUAGGAUUAACUAACAAUAUUCGAAACUUUAAAACUGUAUUAUACAUACGAUAUAAAAUAGUAUUAUAUAAUAUUAAUAAUAUAAAUAUAUAAUAAUAGUUCUUAUUAUCACACUUUGGUUAUCAUUAUAUAGUUUCACUACUAACUCAUAUAUUUCUUAUUACAGUUUCCACCAAUAAUACCAAUCCUCUCAGACUCCUAAACGAAGCUUACAAUUUGCAACGCCCUUCCGAAGAAAAAAAUAAUCUAACCUUUCUCACGGAAUUUAGCCAUAGUUCCCUUUAGGUGGCAGAAGAAGCUCUUAUUACUCAUUCCUAGCCCGCAACAUUUUGUCGAAGAUUGACCCUGUAACAUACAUAAGGGCCGUUUCUGGGGGAACCGGGGACCAGGAGAAAGGGCGUGGAACACACGAUCAAGGAGAAACAGGUUUCUAUUCGCGGAGACUUCCACUUACCGGCCGUCGACUCCGUGGUCGAUGCUCUGGCGAUCUGGUUCAACGACUUUCUUCUCCGCGUACAAAACAAGCUAUGGGCAUUUCUUUGACCUCCUGACUAGCGUGCGCGCGCGGAUUACAUCACACUCUUGUAAUCGCUCGGCCACCAAGUUUUUUCGCCGGAGGAGACGCCAUGAUGCACAAAAACGUAUAUCAGGAGAAAUGUUGGUAUUAGGAAAAUCAUGCAUUGGCGUAGGGCCUUCCAAUUACAAUUUAUAUAAAAUGCUCAGUUACUAUAUACAUAUUAAACUUUCAUUAUUUUUGUUUCAUGUCCAUCCAUUUACAAUGUGCAAGUCUAUUAAUUUUGGUAAAUUUCUAUAGGAUGCAUUAUUGGUUAAAGAUAAUUUCGUCGAAGUUUUGUAACAUGGGAAAUAGUUUCUCGAUUACUGAAAGUUGAAAAACAGGGGAUCAUAGUUUAGACAAAAUGUCUCUCCCCCAUAGCUAUGUGCUAUUCUUAUCAUCCCAUCCUCCACACUUUCGCACAGUUCUCUUCACGUUAAAAAGGACUCUCCGUCACUUAGUCUCAGGUUAUUUUUGACUGGGGCUCGAAGUAACGGUCGAAGAGAAAGGAGAAAGAAAGAAGGCAAAAAAGCGAGAAAUAAAUUCUUCGAUCGCGUCGGAUGUGCACAUUAGGCGUGGUGAAGAAAAGAGCAGCGAUACAACAGGUGCCUCAUACAGGAAACCGGCAUUGUCGAGCUCCAAGGACAUACCGCUAUAAAAACUCUUCUAUUCCAUCCGGGCAGACAUAAAAAGGGCGUAGAAGAAUAGAAAAGGAAUGACCUUGAAGAGUAGGGUUGUCCAACGAGCGGGAAUAGCGCGCGCAUAGAUGCGUAAAUUAUGCGCCACUUUCUAAAUGAAAUAUAGGACUGGUUUGUGAAACCCGGAUUUUGGAGUCAGUUUUCCCGAAAUCGUACGAAAGUCGUGAGAGGGGAGGGCACCGUGCGUGCGUGUACGCGUGUUGCGUGCAGUAGGCCUACGGUGGAUGCACUUUUGGGAAAUCAUGCAUAUACGUGGCAACAUCGCACAGCGGGCUCACAUUCCACGUGAUCAGGACCGGUUUGCGGGUGUCGACCCACUGACACUCGUCCACUACAGAUAAACCUUGGCCCUGCAUAUGGGAUACAUACACCUUACUUGUGCUUCUUUUUAUUGCAACACUCAAGAUAUUCUAACCAUUGAUCCAUAAAAAUCCAUUGGACGAUCAAAGUCCCUGCUGUUUUACAAUGGUUAUACUACAACUACUACCAUUAAAAAAUAAUAUCUAUUUCCAAAUAUUAGAACAUGAACGAAUAAUUUGCAGUUAUUUAAAUUUUUAAUCCAUCUUAAUGGGUUAGGUUAUGCAGCAAUUUUCAGAAACAGAUUAGAAUUCUAAAGGAAUGACUCUAUAAUAACGUCAUAGAAUUCCAUUUCACUAAUUAGAACUAUAUUCCAUCCCUCAAUGUGCUCGCGUAAAUAGAAUAUUAUUACUAUAGAAAAUACCACUAGAGUAUAAUUAUUGUAGAAAAAAAUAGCUUGAAGUUUGAUCAGGGGAGUACUGAACGAGAAUUAUUAUCAAAUAAAUAAACACGCGAGGAGGGUUUGAUUCUUUCAUUAACACAUCGUACAGAUGUAUGUAAAGGCCUCGGCGUGCAUUGCAAGGCCAUUGACCGAAGGGAUCCCCGAUCGAUGAUCGGCUACCUGCUGAUACAUUGUUGCCUAUACAAUAGCGAAAGUAUUGUUGGUCCGGUGGGUACCCUCCGGCGUCAAGUGCAAUUAUUCCGUGUAACCGAGUGCACUUUGUUCCUACUGUUCAAGAUCUGCUUUGCCUUGUUGCAUGGCCAUUCAUUGCAGCUACCGGGUGCAACGCCCCAUUCACCUGUGUCAUCGGCCUCCACGAGUAAUUCUAUGUGCAUCCUUUCUUUCUAUAGUACACGAGUACUAUCUCGGAGCAAAAGAAGUUAUUAAAAAGUACUAUUACUAAAAAUAAUUACUAGAAAUAAUUAAUUUUAUUAGCAAGAUGCAAAAUGUUCUUUAUUAAUGUAGUCUUCUAAAAUUAGAUGGCAUGAAAAAUGAUUUUAUAUUGAAGGAUUAAGCAGUUUAUCAUUUUAAGUUUGAUAGAAUUAAAUAAUAAAGAUAAUUUAAUAUGCAUUUAA
This is a long non-coding RNA of Bombus pascuorum, 2982 nucleotides long. RefSeq lists it as uncharacterized. Lineage: Eukaryota; Metazoa; Arthropoda; Insecta; Hymenoptera; Apidae. The record is from RefSeq and is a predicted model, not a curated record. The transcript has 2 exons.